AUCAGCUUACAGGACAACAACACACUCCAGCUCAUGAAAUCACAACGGGGCGUGAUCUGUCCUGCUUCCUUAUUAACCACCCAGCACCUAGAACAGUGCUUGGCCUGGAUUAGGAACCCCAUAAAUAUUUGUGGGGCUGAUAAAUGACAGCACCCACAAUGCAAUUCGGCAAUCCGUGACUUUAGAGCAAAUCUUCGUGAACAUCAAAAGUAAAUACAAAGCAGGUGCGGAGCUGGGAAGGUUUGGUACAUAAAGGAGCAAGUGCUGCCCUGAGGCCUCAGGAUUUUGAUAAACCAAGCGAGAAAUCAGUAAGGUAGCACCGACCCUUAUGUCCUUCCAGCCAGAGAUGGCCAAACCUCUGGCUCAGCCCCCAGACGUCCCGAAACUCUUUCCUCUCCUUCCCGUCAAGUGCACGUCUUGCUCUAUGAAGCAGAUUGGAGGUCGAGACGCCUGGCUUCCAGUUGGAGUUGUUUCUGAUUUUUUUCUUCAAGUUUCAGGUAUUUAUGGAUCGGUGCAAGUCCCAGCACAGUACACCAGCGUGAUCCGUGCGUUUAGACGGGAACCGUUUCCUGGGCAACUGGGGGAUUGUGCAGACGGCUUCUGGAAGACCUUCGUGCUCAGCAGCUUUGUAAGUGAAAUGUUUCAUUCUGAAGCCUGGACUUUCUCUAGUCUGUUGUCAUCUCCGUUCGCGGAGUCGAGCUUGCAUGGAUCAUGGGCACCCGGUGCGUUUCCAGGGUUCCGGGUGACGCCCUCCUACCCCAGCUGACAUCUGGGUUGAACGAUGCCAGGCCCAUGACCUACGGCGCUGCUCCCGUACGUGCCUCUAGGGGCUAAGCUCGAAGGUGCCUCCUCCGGACCGAGGAUCUCGUGUAACGGGGUUGUGGCCAGGGGCCUUGCCGUUGGAAGGAGGAAAGAAUAAACCUGCAAGGCCUGGACUCAAUACACUGAGGAUGAACAGAUGUCCAAAGUUACCCACAUCCCCAAGUCCAAGUUUUGACAGUUCAUGUGCAUAACAUUCCCGGAUGAGUAACUAUAUGCAAUCUCCAUAGGAACGUCUGUGCAAAGAGCAAAGGAGCUCAACUAUUGAUUCCAAAAGUGGGACCCAAAAGCACCCAGUCAAAGGAGGAAGAUAGCUUGAGUUUCCUUCAAGACAUAGAACUUCAUUUUGGCUAAAAAUAGGACAAUGGCGCGAGCGAUGAGAAGACUUUAUCCGGCCAAGCAUGUCAGCGCCAUGACUGACUCGCAUCCACAGAAAAGGGGUAACAUCUAACACGGCCUCUUCUCCCACAGGUUUGCUGGGCUCUAGAAUGGUAAGGAACAAUGACCACGCCCGACACUUAGCAAGUCCACAUUCAUUGCAUCAUUUAACAGCUCCCCCCGCCCCCAAAAAAAGAAAGAAAGAAAAAAGCCAGCAAGAUUAUUCCAAUCAUUUGAGCAAGACAGAAAUUGAACUUGAGAGAAGAUUAACAACAUGCUGACGGUCACCAAGAAUGAACUAGCUUCCGGGUUCAUUUUACAGUUUUCUUGAUAGCGAAUUUAUAAAUUUAUUUUGGUUUUAAAUACAGGAAGAACAAGUGAUGCCAUUCAUUGUACAGUAAUAUUUGAGUUGCUCCAGACCUAAGCCUGCGGACAGCCUGUGGUUCCACACACCGUGCCCAGUCUACACCGCAGCCCUUGUGUGUUAAUUUGAUAAAGAAUGUUCCUUAGUCAUGGGAAGUCAUUUUUACACAUUAUAAGUUUUGAUGAAGUUGGUAGUGAUGAUAUGAUACAGUGGGCUUAAACAUCCUGUUUUUCAUUUAUAAAUGUAAUUUAUAGAAAUUCUAAAAAAGUUCUAUAAAAAUUAUU
Ailuropoda melanoleuca (giant panda) is the source of this 1845-nucleotide long non-coding RNA. RefSeq lists it as uncharacterized. The transcript has 2 exons. The record is from RefSeq and is a predicted model, not a curated record. NCBI's taxonomy places the organism in Eukaryota, Metazoa, Chordata, Mammalia, Carnivora, Ursidae.